CGUAAAAGAGCAGUGGACCUCAAUGUUAAAAUCUUGGAUUUGAGUAGUACAUUUCUUAUGGGAACCAAUUUUCCCAACAAGAUUGAGAAGCAUCUCUUACCAGAACACAUUCGUCGUAACUUUACAUCUGCUGGGGAUCAUAUCAUAAUUGAUGGUCUCCACGCAGAAUCACCGGAUGACUUGGUGCGAGAAGCUGCUUAUAAAAUUUUUCUUUAUCCCAAUGCUGGUCAAUUGAAAUGUUUAGAAGAAUUGCUCAGCAGCAGAGAUCUUCUGGCAAAGUUGGUGGGGUAUUCCACGUUUUCUCACAGGGCUCUCCAAGGAACGAUAGCUAAAAAUCCAGAGACUGUCAUGCAGUUCCUUGAAAAACUAUCUGACAAACUUUCUGAAAGAACUCUGAAAGAUUUUGAGAUGAUACGAGGGAUGAAAAUGAAACUGAAUCCUCAAAAUUCCGAAGUAAUGCCCUGGGACCCCCCCUACUACAGUGGUGUGAUUCGUGCAGAAAGCACCCCGCAGGUUUGCUGACAGCAUGCUUGAGUGAACGAACCAGGGAGCGAGGGCACUGGAUCAUGAACGUCUCUUUCAACACUAGGAUUCUGUUUAAAGAAAAAUCAGUCAGAAAUUAAGGUGUAAAUUUGUGGAUGUCCAUAGCCAAAGUCUCAUUUGUUGUGCAAUUUAUGUUCACUUACUAAACUCAUUCAUUUAUUAGUAACUAUGUUUUUAUAUUUUUAUAUAUAAAUUUGUUGUGGGGACUCAUUUUAUGGAACGAAGUGUUGUGCAGUUCUAGAAUCACAAAUAAAGCCAAU
Molecule: small RNA, 803 nt
Filed under: Pan troglodytes (chimpanzee)
Lineage: Eukaryota; Metazoa; Chordata; Mammalia; Primates; Hominidae
Description: processed transcript
Source: RNAcentral